RNAcentral lists this non-coding RNA (26 nucleotides) under Rattus norvegicus (Norway rat). The record is from RNAcentral. Lineage: Eukaryota; Metazoa; Chordata; Mammalia; Rodentia; Muridae.
GGAGUCAUCAUGCUUUGCUUCCCCAC